This 564-nucleotide ribosomal RNA is filed under the name uncultured bacterium. RNAcentral's name for it is "bacterial SSU rRNA". It matches the Rfam family "Bacterial small subunit ribosomal RNA", at positions 338 to 916 of the family's 1533-position model. The record is from RNAcentral.
CCUACGGGAGGCAGCAGUGGGGAAUUUUCCGCAAUGGGCGAAAGCCUGACGGAGCAACGCCGCGUGGGGGAUGAAGGCCUCUGGGCUGUAAACCCCUUUUCUCAAGGAAGAAGACCUGACGGUACUUGAGGAAUAAGCCACGGCUAAUUCCGUGCCAGCAGCCGCGGUAAUACGGGAGUGGCAAGCGUUAUCCGGAAUUAUUGGGCGUAAAGCGUCCGCAGGCGGCCUAUUAAGUCUGUCGUUAAAGCGUGGAGCUCAACUCCAUUUAAGCGAUGGAAACUGGAAGGCUAGAGUGUGGUAGGGGCAGAGGGAAUUCCCGGUGUAGCGGUGAAAUGCGUAGAUAUCGGGAAGAACACCAGUGGCGAGGGCGCUCUGCUGGGCCAUAACUGACGCUCAUGGACGAAAGCCAGGGGAGCGAAAGGGAUUAGAUACCCCUGUAGUCCUGGCCGUAAACGAUGAACACUAGGUGUCGGGGGAAUCGACCCCCUCGGUGUCGUAGCUAACGCGUUAAGUGUUCCGCCUGGGGAGUACGCACGCAAGUGUGAAACUCAAAGGAAUUGACGG